CUUGAAUAUUUUAGGGACUUUAAGACUAAAAAAAGAAGCAGUACAGUUAUGGAUGCAGGCUCUUAUCCUUUUAUAUAUACACCAUAAUUCUUUAAGAUUUUCCAUUUGGUUUCUUGUACUUUGGAUCUUUGUCUAAAUGAAUGGCAACAGAAUAGAAACCAACAAAGAAAACGAUGAUUGGGACUUCAUUGCAUAAAAUUUAUUUAAUUUUAUUUGUUUUGGGGUCCCUUCUCAUUGAUCAACUUAAAACAAAUUAAAAUAAAAUACAGCUUGAUUGAUGUUAAGAUUAUUAGCCACGGAAGCAACACUGUAAUUUUCACCAAGUCUGGAAAGUGGGUGUCUAAACUAGAGCUUUGUUGGCCAGUUUAUAUGCUUGUCAUAUUUUGACUAUACAAGAAAUAAAACAACAAUAAUAAUAAUAAAAAGUAUACGUUGGAAGCGAAUUUUACGAUCCCAUGCUUAGCUGUGUGUAUUAAGGAAAGGGAUCAGAUUAAGAAACCGAAGUUUAAGUAACUUUAGUACUAUAUAAUUUAUUAAUUUGUUAGAUUGUAAAAUUGGCUGUGUUUCCAUUUGGUCUCUGAUGUUGUGUAUUAUUUCAAAGCACAUGUAGUGUUAUGUAUAUAUAUAUUUUAAAAAAUUGUGAUGGGUUAAGCCGUUUUAACAACAACAGGAGUAAUAAAUAGACUCAAUUCUGCUGCUACUAUGUGAUGGGUUUAGAAGAUAGAGCUACCAAAGGUAGUUAGAGGGCAUGCUUAAAAUUAUAGUAACCCCUUAUAUAAACUUGACCCGUGUGUGACACAAAAAAUGAGACUUUUAUCUCUUAUUAACAUCAAUGUCAAAAAAUUCAUAGUUAUUUAUGGCUACGCUGUCAUUCUUUGAAAGAUUGACAACAUCCUUUGCAACUAUUGGCUGUGUAUUGGAACUUUUUUUGGGCAAAUAAAAUAAGACUUAAAGAAAAGACAAUAACGAGAAGAAAUGGAAUAAAAACUGUCUCGACAAAAAUAAUUACAAGAAAGUUGAUAAUAAUAUUAUUAACUAUCCCUGUCAAAAGACCUCAUAAUUCCCGAAAAGCACACAUUUCACUUUAUUCUAUUCCAUGGUAAUAUCUGAGAAUAAAAAUCCAGUUGACAGUGAUUUACUUUUUCCAAAGGAUCCACGGUGUAGAAUUCAGCUGUCUCAUGAAAACAAGAGACAGGCGUGACCUUAGCAUGAGCACCCUGAUUCUAAAAAAUUCCUUGUGAUUUGUUUAUCCAUAGUGGUUGGAUUAGGUCUUUUCUUGGGUGUUCUGAUUGUGAUUUUCCCAACUUUUGAAUGAAAAAGACCAAAUUAGCCUUGCUUGUGACCCUCUUCUGAUGUGACUUUUAGGAAGGACCAGCAAGGCAUUGCAUUGCAUGCAACAAGAGAACAGAAAGGACCCCAACCCAAGUCAGCCAAACACAGCAAAUAGAGUUUCAGAAUCCUUUUUUGCCCUUUCCAUGUCAGUGACCCUAAACGGUAACAGUACAGUACACUGCCUCCGCUGAAUUUCAGACACACAGUGCCAUUUACCCCUCACCCAAUCAACCAUCAGGUGUUUUGUUUUUCCACUUUACAAAGCAAAAGAAAAAAAAUAAUAUAAAAACAAGAAAAACGAAACAGCCUUAUUAUUAUUAUUAUUCCUUCCUUACCAUUUACUUGUUUAGUAUUUUCUUUUGCUUAGUUUAAUAAAUUAGUUCCUUCCAUUUCUUUUACCAAUGCUUACUGAUUUCCCAGUGUUGGUUUACGGUUUCAUUGUUCCAUUGUCCUUUUUUUUUCCUUUUUGAAUUUUCUGUGAGGUCCAGUGGGGUUGGGUGAUGAGUGAAAGUUUGUCUGGAAGUGAGUAAGAAGAUACGAAAUAAGAGAUAGAAAGAGAGAGAGAGAGAGAGUGGUGUAGCUGUUUCAUGCUGCUUUCACACAUCCUAUGUCGUUAUGUGGCUAAGGAUUGGGUCCACCGACCCGUAGGCCUUACCUUCUCUCUCUCAUUAAUUUUCCAUAUUGUAAAAAUUUCAUUUAUGACAAGAGAGAUGUGAGCAAAAUCUGGAAAAACUUUUGAAGAGGGAAAAAAGGCAGAGAAUAAUAAAGAAAAAGGAAAAAAAAAAAGAAGAAAGGAGCAAAAUGCUGUGUGUAUAUGUGUUGGUGUAUAUGCAUGACACCAAAUCAGUGAAGAAACUCAGUGUUAUUGCUAGCUCAAUUUUCUCAUUUAAAACAACCCAACCUCAGGAGGAAAACCACAUCAAGCAGUGUCCAUGGAGGGAUUGAUUUACUAUUUCUUCUUCUGUCUAUUCUAGCCUUCUCUUCCCCCUCUAGAUUUUUCUUUUGCUAUCAAUCUGCGACAAUUCUAUUGCUUUUUCUGGGAUUGGGGAUAUGAAUUGAGGAGGACUCAAAUUGCAUGUGGGUUUUCCAGAAUUCUGAUUAAGGUUUAAGGUUAAAGGAGAGAAAAGAACACUCCCAGGUGAAGCAGAAGAAGGUUAAUUGUUAUAAAUAGGACUUUCUAUAAGAGAUGGCGGCAUCAUCUUCCUCAGCAUCGCUCUUUGGAUUUAGAGAAGAGGAUCAGAACCAGAUGAAGCAACAGCAUUCCUUGACACCAACAUCAUCUGCAACUCCAGCUGCACCCCCACCCCCGAAGAAAAAGAGAAACCAACCUGGAACACCAAAUCCAGAUGCGGAGGUGAUAGCACUAUCUCCCAAGACCCUAAUGGCAACAAACAGGUUUAUAUGUGAGGUGUGCAACAAAGGGUUCCAAAGGGAGCAAAACCUACAGCUACACAGAAGAGGACACAACCUGCCUUGGAAGCUUAAGCAGAAGACUACAAAAGAGCCAAAGAAAAAGGUUUAUCUGUGUCCUGAGCCCACAUGCGUCCACCAUGACCCUUCAAGGGCUUUAGGUGACCUCACAGGGAUCAAGAAGCACUACUCUCGCAAACAUGGUGAGAAGAAGUGGAAGUGUGACAAGUGCUCAAAGAAGUAUGCUGUUCAAUCAGAUUGGAAAGCCCAUUCUAAGACUUGCGGCACCAGAGAAUAUAGAUGUGACUGUGGCACCCUCUUCUCCAGACGAGACAGCUUCAUCACCCAUAGGGCCUUCUGCGAUGCACUGGCUCAAGAGAGUGCAAGGCAACCACCGAACCUGGGCGGUGCCAUUAGCGGCCACAACUUAUAUGGAAGUAACAACAUGGCUUUAAACUUAUCUCAGGUGGGUCCCAACAUGCAAGACCAAAAUAACCAACCAAAUGAACUAUUGCGACUCGGUGGUGGUGCUGGUCGAACCGGUCAAUUUGACCACAUUAUCGGUUCACCAUUCAGAUCUUCACAGCAACCCUUCUUCAUGCCCGAACCGAACCAAAACUACCAUCACCACCCUGAACAACAACAAUGUUUGGUUCAAAACAAACCUUUCCAGGGACUAAUGCAAUUAUCUGAUCUUAACAACAAUCAUCAUCAUAAUAACAGCGUGAACAAUUCUCCAUCAGCUGGUUCCACCCUCUUCAACCUUCCCUUUCUUUCAAGCAACACCACUAACACCACCAACACCUCCUUCUCUGAACACUUCAACAAUGCCACCAAUAAUGGCAAUGCAGGAGGCAACAAUGAAGGGACCAAUUUCUUCACAACUUCAAGUGCACCUUCUCUCUUCAGCACCUCUCUUCAAGGUGGCAGCAACAAUAACAACAACAACAACAGUGCUAUCUCUCACAUGUCAGCAACUGCACUGCUUCAGAAAGCUGCACAAAUGGGUGCAACUUCAAGCAACAGCACUGCUUCACUGUUGAAAAGCUUUGGAAGCGGUUCUUCUAGCAGCGGAGGAUCAAAAUCUGAUCAUAGGCCAUUGGUUGCUGCUGCAAACUAUGGUGGCAUUUUUGGAGGAAGUGAGCAUAGUAGUAAUAGCAACCUGCAAGAUCUUAUGAACUCUUUUGCUGUUAGUGGGAACUCUUCACUUUUUGAAAGUGGAUCUUCUGGAGGGUUUUCUGUUACUGGGUUUGAAGCAUAUGAUCAUAACAACAGGGACCCAAAAUUGCAUCCAAUGAACAUUGGAGGUUCUGAUAGGCUCACCCGCGAUUUUCUUGGUGUUGGGCAGAUAGUGAGAAGCAUGAGUGGUGGUGGUGGUGGAGGAGUUUCAGUUUCACACAGAGAACAACAUCAGCAACGUGGGUUCAACUUGAGUUCUAUGGAGGCAGAAAGAAACAAUGCAGCAGCAUCAGGGCAAUCUUUUGGAGGUGGUGGAGGGAAUUUUCAGUGACGAUGGGAAAGGCAUAAUCAUCCAUCUGAUGCAAAGAAAGUACAAAGGUGUAGUUGCUGCAUGGUAGCAAAUGGUUGCAAGAUUUAUUUACGAGACAGGUAUUUCAACCCGUUCUGUUGAAACUUAACAGUCUAGCUCAUCUAAUUAAGGCUUCUGAGAGCAGGAUUAGGGAAGCAUGUGAAAGUUUCUGGAAUUUACUAAUAGCGCAAGCAAAUUAGGCUCCAAGAUUAGGCAUCUUCAACUCCGUUACAACUUUCUGCUUUUUCUUCUCUACCUUUUUACAAGUUUAUUCGGAUUAUAAACAAACUAGCUAGCAUCAUGAUUUUCAUGGUUUAAAUAGAUUUUGUUUUUGAACAAUGCAUUUGUUAUAUUUAUACUUGACUGCCAGUAAUGACUUUGUUCAUACAUAGUUUGGCCUUUUGUGCAUAAACGUGCAUGGACAUCUUCAGACCAUUAUGGUCCCGUUUAUAUCACAUGUUUCUUAGAAAUAUUUUUUUAAAUCAUAGUG
Abrus precatorius (Indian licorice) is the source of this 4760-nucleotide RNA transcript. It is a transcript of the gene named protein indeterminate-domain 5, chloroplastic-like, with no coding region annotated. NCBI's taxonomy places the organism in Eukaryota, Viridiplantae, Streptophyta, Magnoliopsida, Fabales, Fabaceae. The transcript has 5 exons. The record is from RefSeq and is a predicted model, not a curated record.